UCCUCGGCGGGGUAAGACUGCUGCUGGGCCUCUCACUGCCCUCUCGCAUAUCCUCCCCCCACCGAGAAUAAGCCUCUCUCUCUUUUGACCUGGUGUGCAAUUGUGAAAGAUAAAAAAAUUAAUAAUAAGAGAAACUCGGAAUAAAAAAAAAAUAUUGUCGAGGUUAGGAGUUAUUAGCUUUGUUACCUUAGGGAGAUCCAACGCAGAAAUGGGCUGCAGGCGAGACGAAAUGGCUGUAAUCAUUUGACGGCUCCUGAAAUUAUUUUCACCGCUAGCCAUGGAUUCCCUUGGAACUCUAGCCAGACGUAGAAGAAACAAGUGACGAACUCCUGGCGAUGUGCAAGUAAAUAAAAUUCCCCCGAAGUAACGCGCGAGUCUCGUCACAUACAGACCAGAUAUAAAACCAGAGCUGAAAAAAAGGUAGAAAAAUAUGAAACGGACAUUUGAUUUGGAGACACCAUCAAGAUGGAUUAACGUCAAUUUGGCUGCGCUGGUCCUGCUGCUUAUUCCUAAUACAGGUGUUGAGAGCCAAGAGCAGAUGUUCAGAGAGAGACCGAGAUGAGAG
This is a long non-coding RNA of Macrobrachium nipponense, 565 nucleotides long. RefSeq lists it as uncharacterized. The transcript is spliced from 3 exons. NCBI's taxonomy places the organism in Eukaryota, Metazoa, Arthropoda, Malacostraca, Decapoda, Palaemonidae. The record is from RefSeq and is a predicted model, not a curated record.